CCCAGCCUCACAUCACUAAGUUUGGACCAAGAGAGCCACAUUGCCCUUCCCAGCUGGCCCCUGGCCUUCCCCUGCCCUCCUCAGCCUCACUCGGUUUCUGAACUUUCCCUGUUCAUUACAGGAGCGCAGGGCCCUGGAACGCAAGGCCGCAGAGCUAGAGGAGGAGCUGAAGGCCCUGUCUGACCUCCGCGCCGACAACCAGCGCCUCAAGGAUGAGAAUGCAGCGUUGAUCCGCGUCAUCAGCAAACUCUCCAAGUGACCGGAAGGGACUUCCUGCACCCGUAUUUAUACAGCUGCUUCUGCCACACGCACCCUUCCCCCGUGUGAACACGAGUGACAGGGCUCCGGGGGAAGUCUCAGAGAAGCCAUAGCCCCCCUGGGACCUCCGGACUGGGAGGGGAGCAGAGUCCCCAGGAGCCAAGGGGCCACCCGAGGCCAGGAUGGAGGUGGGAGGCUGAGCCAAGUAGGAGGACGUUGCCAGAGGGGACCAGGACCAGAGAUGGGACCAGGAAGGAACUGAGGACCAAGAAGUGCAAGGAUCAGUAGCUAGGACCAGAGUGGCCGCCUGGAGGUCCCCAUCUCACGUGUGAUGUCACCCCGUCACCCCUCCCCUCCUGAGCAGGGAUCCAAGAAUGUGCCAAGUCCCGCCAGCCUCAGCCAGGUGGGCCUGUAUAUAGGGUCCAUGUGCAAUAGGGAGGGACGUCUUCUAUUUUUUGCUGCCCCCUCCCCGCCCACUGUCUGGGGCAGGGGGAGAAGGUAUUUUCGAGAUAAAGCACAGGCACCACAAAUAAAAGUCGUGAAGUUGCCACUCAA
Nomascus leucogenys (northern white-cheeked gibbon) is the source of this 813-nucleotide long non-coding RNA. RefSeq lists it as uncharacterized. Lineage: Eukaryota; Metazoa; Chordata; Mammalia; Primates; Hylobatidae. The record is from RefSeq and is a predicted model, not a curated record. The transcript is spliced from 2 exons.